GCGCCUGUAGCUCAACUGGACAGAGCAACGGACUUCUAAUCCGUAGGUUCUGGGUUCAAGUCCCGGCAGGCGCG
RNAcentral lists this transfer RNA (74 nucleotides) under Deltaproteobacteria bacterium. RNAcentral's name for it is "tRNA-Arg". It matches the Rfam family "tRNA". From Rfam's summary of the family: Transfer RNA (tRNA) molecules are approximately 80 nucleotides in length. Lineage: Bacteria; Pseudomonadati; Myxococcota; Myxococcia. The record is from RNAcentral.